AGGGCGGGCAUGCUACACAUGCAGUCGAGCGGCUGCACUGGACUUCGGUCUGUGUGUGCGAGUGGCGGACGGGUGAGUAAUGUAUCGGAACGUGCCCGGUAGUGGGGGAUAACUUCUCGAAAGGAAAGCUAAUACCGCAUACGCCCUACGGGGGAAAGCGGGGGAUCGUAAGACCUUGCGCUAUUGGAUGGGCCUAUGUCGGAUUAGCUAGUUGGUGGGGUAACGGCUCACCAAGGCGACGAUCCGUAACUGGUUUGAGAGGACGACCAGCCACACUGGAACUGAGACACGGCCCAGACUCCUACGGGAGGCAGCAGUGGGGAAUUUUGGACAAUGGGGGAAACCCUGAUCCAGCCAUCCCGCGUGUGCGAAGAAGGCCUUCGGGUUGUAAAGCACUUUUGGUAGGAAAGAAAGGUCGUGGGUUAAUACCCCGUUGAUCUGACGGUACCUGCAGAAUAAGCACCGGCUAACUACGUGCCAGCAACCGCGGUAAUACGUAGGGUGCAAGCGUUAAUCGGAAUUACUGGGCCUAAAAGGUGCGCAGGUGGUUCGGAAAGAAAGAUGUGAAAUCCCCGAGCUUAACUUUGGGAACUGGGUUUUUAACGAGGGGGGCUAGAGUGUGGGAGAGGGGUGGGGAAUUCUCCCUGUGUGGCAGUGAAAUGCGUAGAUAUAUGGAGAGACACGGAGUGCAGAGGCGACCUCCUUGGGGGCCACUCGCACGCGUGGAGCGAAUCGUGGGUUGACAAAAAGAUUAGAUGCCCCGGGCGGGG
This 770-nucleotide ribosomal RNA is filed under the name Achromobacter denitrificans. Its description in RNAcentral is "bacterial SSU rRNA". It matches the Rfam family "Bacterial small subunit ribosomal RNA", at positions 38 to 795 of the family's 1533-position model. The record is from RNAcentral. Lineage: Bacteria; Pseudomonadati; Pseudomonadota; Betaproteobacteria; Burkholderiales; Alcaligenaceae.